UUCCAGACUCCUACGGGAGGCAGCAGUGGGGAAUAUUGCACAAUGGGGGGAACCCUGAUGCAGCGACGCCGCGUGGGUGAAGGAGUAUUUCGGUAUGUAAAGCCCUAUCAGCAGGGAAGAACAAUGACGGUACCUGACUAAGAAGCACCGGCUAAAUACGUGCCAGCAGCCGCGGUAAUACGUAUGGUGCAAGCGUUAUCCGGAUUUACUGGGUGUAAAGGGAGCGUAGACGGCAGUGCAAGUCUGGAGUGAAAGCCCGUGGCUUAACUACGGGACUGCUCUGGAAACUGGGCAGCUAGAGUGCAGGAGAGGCAGGCGGAAUUCCUAGUGUAGCGGUGAAAUGCGUAGAUAUUAGGAGGAACACCAG
RNAcentral lists this ribosomal RNA (367 nucleotides) under uncultured bacterium. RNAcentral describes it as "partial 16S ribosomal RNA". It matches the Rfam family "Bacterial small subunit ribosomal RNA", at positions 329 to 712 of the family's 1533-position model. The record is from RNAcentral.